UACAGAGGGUGCAAGCGUUAAUCGGAGUUACUGGGCGUAAAGGGCGUGUAGGCUGAUACUCAAGUCGGUUGUGAAAUCCCCGGGCUUAACCUGGGAAUUGCAGUCGAUACUGUGUGUCUAGAGUAUGGUAGAGGGAAGUGGAAUUCUUGGUGUAGUGGUUAAAUACGUAGAUAUCAAGAAGAACACCGGUGGCGAAGGCGACUUCCUGGACCAAUACUGACGCUGAGGCGCGAAAGCGUGGGGAGCAAAC
This 250-nucleotide ribosomal RNA is filed under the name uncultured prokaryote. RNAcentral's name for it is "partial 16S ribosomal RNA". It matches the Rfam family "Bacterial small subunit ribosomal RNA", at positions 524 to 773 of the family's 1533-position model. The record is from RNAcentral.